CUUUGCUUCCUUUUUGUCUGGACUAUAAAUGCUGAAGAGUCAAAGUCAUGAACUGGAGAUGAAUCGUUCACCUUCUAAAGAUGGAUACAAGUCUUAAAGAGUUCUUAGUGUCUAUCGUUGAAAGCCUACCCGUCUCCUCAGAGAAAUCUUUGCCGGAAUUCGUCCACGUUCUACUCCAGGAUUUGUCUCCUGGUCUUCUUCCUGUGGGAUGGGGUGUUACGUUUAUAUCCAUUCUAUCAGCCGUCUUUGUGGCGUAUAAAUGGAACAGAGCCAAAAACAGCAAGU
This is a long non-coding RNA of Girardinichthys multiradiatus, 285 nucleotides long. RefSeq lists it as uncharacterized. The record is from RefSeq and is a predicted model, not a curated record. NCBI's taxonomy places the organism in Eukaryota, Metazoa, Chordata, Actinopteri, Cyprinodontiformes, Goodeidae. The transcript has 3 exons.